This 254-nucleotide ribosomal RNA is filed under the name uncultured bacterium. RNAcentral describes it as "partial 16S ribosomal RNA". It matches the Rfam family "Bacterial small subunit ribosomal RNA", at positions 524 to 776 of the family's 1533-position model. The record is from RNAcentral.
UACGUAGGGAGCAAGCGUUGUUCGGAUUUACUGGGCGUAAAGGGCGCGUAGGCGGCCAGCGCAAGUCAGUUGUGAAAUCUCCGGGCUUAACUCGGAAAGGUCAAGUGAUACUGUUGUGCUAGAGUGCGGAAGGGGCAACUGGAAUUCUCGGUGUAGCGGUGAAAUGCGUAGAUAUCGAGAGGAACACCUGCGGCGAAGGCGGGUUGCUGGGCCGACACUGACGCUGAUGCGCGAAAGCCAGGGGAGCGAACGGG